This 253-nucleotide ribosomal RNA is filed under the name uncultured bacterium. RNAcentral describes it as "partial 16S ribosomal RNA". It matches the Rfam family "Bacterial small subunit ribosomal RNA", at positions 524 to 776 of the family's 1533-position model. The record is from RNAcentral.
UACGUAGGGUGCAAGCGUUGUUCGGAAUUACUGGACGUAAAGCGCACGUAGGCGGACCAUCAAGUUGGGGGUGAAAUCCCGGGGCUCAACCCCGGAACUGCCUCCAAAACUGCUGGUCUGGAGGUCGAGAGAGGUGAGUGGAAUUCCGAGUGUAGAGGUGAAAUUCGUAGAUAUUCGGAAGAACACCAGUGGCGAAGGCGGCUCACUGGCCCGGUACUGACGCUGAGGUGCGAAAGCGUGGGGAGCAAACAGG